AUGAACGCUGGCGGCGUGCCUAAUCCAUGCAAGUCGAGCGAACGGACGAGAAGCUUGCUUCUCUGAUGUUAGCGGCGGACGGGUGAGUAACACGUGGAUAACCUACCUAUAAGGCUGGGAUAACUUCGGGAAACCGGAGCUAAUACCGGAUAAUAUUUUGAGCCGCAUGGUUCAAAAGUGAAAGACGGUCUUGCUGUCACUUAUAGAUGGAUCCGCGCUGCAUUAGCUAGUUGGUAAGGUAACGGCUUACCAAGGCAACGAUGCAUAGCCGACCUGAGAGGGUGAUCGGCCACACUGGAACUGAGACACGGUCCAGACUCCUACGGGAGGCAGCAGUAGGGAAUCUUCCGCAAUGGGCGAAAGACUGACGGAGCAACGCCGCGUGAGUGAUGAAGGUCUUCGGAUCGUAAAACUCUGUUAUUAGGGAAGAACAUAUGUGUAAGUAACUGUGCACAUCUUGACGGUACCUAAUCAGAAAGCCACGGCUAACUACGUG
RNAcentral lists this ribosomal RNA (496 nucleotides) under uncultured bacterium. RNAcentral describes it as "partial 16S ribosomal RNA". It matches the Rfam family "Bacterial small subunit ribosomal RNA", at positions 29 to 507 of the family's 1533-position model. The record is from RNAcentral.